RNAcentral lists this ribosomal RNA (430 nucleotides) under Acidobacteriota bacterium. RNAcentral describes it as "Acidobacteria bacterium partial 16S ribosomal RNA". It matches the Rfam family "Bacterial small subunit ribosomal RNA", at positions 355 to 776 of the family's 1533-position model. Lineage: Bacteria; Pseudomonadati; Acidobacteriota. The record is from RNAcentral.
UGGGGAAUAUUGGACAAUGGGCGAAAGCCUGAUCCAGCCAUGCCGCGUGUGUGAAGAAGGCCUUUUGGUUGUAAAGCACUUUAAGCGAGGAGGAGGCUACUUGGAUUAAUACUCUAGGAUAGUGGACGUUACUCGCAGAAUAAGCACCGGCUAACUCUGUGCCAGCAGCCGCGGUAAUUCAGAGGGUGCGAGCGUUAAUCGGAUUUACUGGGCGUAAAGCGUGCGUAGGCGGCUUCUUAAGUCGGAUGUGAAAUCCCUGAGCUUAACUUAGGAAUUGCAUUCGAUACUGGGAAGCUAGAGUAUGGGAGAGGAUGGUAGAAUUCCAGGUGUAGCGGUGAAAUGCGUAGAGAUCUGGAGGAAUACCGAUGGCGAAGGCAGCCAUCUGGCCUAAUACUGACGCUGAGGUACGAAAGCAUGGGGAGCAAACAGG